This 17921-nucleotide long non-coding RNA is filed under the name Lactuca sativa (garden lettuce). RNAcentral describes it as "long non-coding RNA (LSAT_LNC008961)". The record is from RNAcentral. Lineage: Eukaryota; Viridiplantae; Streptophyta; Magnoliopsida; Asterales; Asteraceae.
UAUCGAUGGAGCGUGUGUGGUUAACCGGCACAUCGAUUGAGUGAUAAACUUUAAGGGUACCAAGUGAUUUGCAUGGUUACUUCACACCUCGUUUUGUGAUCCUCGGUAUCCCAGUCACAAAACUUGGAGGGCACACUCGAGAUUGAAACAUGCCUUUGAAAAGUUCAUUGAAUCUCAAAGAAUCUAGGAAUUUCUAAGAACCAUUCAAAAACCUAAUACUAAAAUAUUGCGGUUUUCGUGGUGGAAAUUGGUGAAUCGUCAUUCACCUACCUUUCAAAUAUGAUAUAGCUUAGAUUACGGCAUACCUCUUCUAAGUUAUAUUAUAUUGUGAUUGGAUCCUAGCCUUAAUAUUACAUUUGGGUGUUUUAUUAAGGACUCUCUUAUAUCUAAACUAAUCUUGUCCUCUUUCCUUCAGAUGUCUUUCAACAAUGCUUCUGGCUCUAAUCCUAAUGGCUCCUUUACCCUUAUGAACUUGUGUGGGAAAGUCACCUUUGAUGGAUCCAACUUCAAUGAGUGGAUCAGAAACAUCAGGAUGAUUACCCGCUACGAGGACAAAGAAUAUGUCCUUGACAAGGAGCUUAAGGAGAUUGAUGAGUCCACUGCAACUCCUCAGGAGAUCGCUGAAUUUCGGGCACAUGAAAGGGAUGCUACGAAAGUGGCUUGCAUCAUGAUGGCCACGAUGACAGCGGAACUCCAAAAGUCUUAUGAGGAUUUCUACCCUUAUGACAUGCACCAAGAUUUGAUGGAAAGAUACCAUCAAAGUGCAAGACAAGAGAGGUAUGAAAUCAUCUGCUCCAUGAUAACAACCAUGAUGAAGGACGGGGAAUCCGUCACGAGCCACAUGCAGAAAAUGCAAAGGUAUGUGGAUCGUUUGCUGAAGCUUAAUGUGAACUUCCCGGAGGAUCUUGCAAUAGAUAUUAUUUUGCAUUCCUUACCAUCGUGCUAUGAUCAAUUCCGCAUGACAUAUCACAUGAACAAGGAAGAAGUCACCCUCAGCAAACUUCAGGGACUUCUCAAGACCGCAGAAUCAGGUCUUAAGGGGAAGUCGGUUGCUAUCACUCCUACUCAAAACUCUACUCCGGUUUUGGCAAUCGGGAAAAGUCGAGGGAGGAAGAGAAAGAGCUCUUCUAAGGGUACCAAGGCUCGGACCCUUGAUGGCUCUUCUUCAAGUGGAACCAAGAAAGGUUUCAUUACUCCUUCUUCUGACCCAAAAGAGGCUGAAUGCUUCUAUUGCCAUGAAAAAGCUCAUUGGAAGCGGAACUGCCCAAAAUACCAGCAAGAUGUGAAGGAUGGGAAAGUUAAACCCAACCAUGCAGGUAUUUACACUAUCAUUUCUAAUAACUCACCCCAUUCUAAUUCUUGGGUCCUUGAUACCGGGUGUGGUAUUCACAUUUGUUGUGACUUGCAGGGACUAAGAAGAAGUGAGGAUGUGGAGCAAGGAAGGAUAAACUUGAUCAUGGGGAAUAGGAAAGCUAUACCUGUUACCAAGAUUGGAGUUUAUACUUUAUCGCUAAGUAGUGGGUUUAGUUUAGAUUUGAAUAAGUGUUGUUAUUCGCCAGGAAUGGCAAGAAAUAUUAUUUCCUUUCAUGCUUUGUACAAACAAGGGUUUACCUUUUCAUUUAAUAAUGAAGUUGGUUCUAUUGAUGCUUUCUUUAAUAAUGUUUUUUAUUUUAAAGCAUUACCUUGUGAUGGUGUGUAUGAAGCUGUAUCUGUUGUAGAUAACUUAGGAAAUAAUGUUUUGUGUAUUGAUUCUACUAAUAAUAAUAACUUGGAUAAAGCAUCAUUAUGGCAUUGUCGUCUUGGACAUAUAAGCAAGAAACGCAUAGGCCAACUCCAAAAGGAUGGAGUCUUGGAGUCAUUUGACCUAAAGUCAGAUGAUAGUUGCGAAUCAUGCUUACUUGGAAAAAUGACGAAGUCACCCUUCACAGGUUCUUGUGAGAGGGGUGAAGGUUUGUUGGACCUUGUACACAUGGAUGUGUGUGGACCAUUCAAACAUGCCACAAGGGAUGCUAAUCGUUAUUAUUUGACUUUUACUGAUGAUUACAGUAGAUAUGGAUAUGUCUACUUGAUCAAGCAUAAGUCAGAGACUUUCGAAAGGUUUAAGGAAUUUAAACAGGGAGUCGAGAAUCAAUUGGGCAGGAACAUUAAGAUGCUUCGAUCCGAUCGUGGUGGUGAGUAUCUUAGUUCAAAGUUCCUUGACUAUCUAAGGGAGUGUGGGAUUGUCUCACAAUUGACACCUCCCAGGACACCACAAUUGAAUGUUGUGGCUGAGAGGCGUAAUCGAACCUUGUUGGACAUGGUUCGUUCCAUGAUGAGUCGAGCAUCGCUACCAAUCUCAUUUUAGGGGUAUGCCUUAGAGACUGUGGCUCAUAUCCUUAAUCUAGUCCCUACAAAGAAACUUGCCAAAACUCCUCAUGAGAUGUGGACUGGUAAAGUACCUAAACAAGACCACAUCAAGAUUUGGGGUUGCGAGGCUUUCGUGAGACGCGAGACUCAUGAUAAGCUCAAACCUCGAAGCGAGAGGUGUAGUAUCAUUGGCUACCUACAGCAAUCCUUUGGUUACCUCUUUUACAGACCUAAUGAAAAUGUGGUCUUUGUAGCUAGGAGGGCCAUCUUUCGAGAGAGAGAGAGAGAGCUCAUAAGCCAAGGAAACAGUGGGAGGCAAAUUGAUCUUGAAGAAAUUCAAGAGUCAAGCGGUGAAGGAACUUCAAACCCUAGCACUCAACUUGAGGAGGAAACUCCUGUUGAGCCAAUUGACAAGUCUGUACCUCUUUGGCGUUCCAUGAGAGUUACGAAUGCACCUAAGCAUUACUAAGGAUUCCAUAUUACUGCAGAAGGUGAUAAAUUUUUCAGUGAUGGGACGCUGAUAGGUCUGGAUGAACCUAACAUUUACGCGUAAGCCAUGGCAGGCCCUGAGUCAGCAAAGUGGAAAGAGGCAAUGGAUAGCGAGAUACAAUCCAUGUACGACAGUCAAGUUUGGAACUUGGUUAAGAAUGUACCAGGUCGUAAGACUGUAGGGUGCAAAUGGAUCUUCAAGAAGAAGACCGACAUGGAUGGUAAUUUACACACUUAUAAGCCUAGACUGGUUGCAAAGGGCUUCUCUCAAAUUCCUGGAGUGGAUUAUGAUGAGACCUUUUCUCCAGUAUCCAAGAUUAAGUCUAUUAUGGUUAUGUUAGCCAUAGCUACAUUUCAUGACUAUGAAAUUUAGCAAAUGGAUGUAAAAACUGCUUUCCUUAAUGGAAAGUUGGCUGAAGAUGUUUACAUGAGUCAGCCAGAAGGUUUUUUUAGCAAUGAGUACCCUAAUAGAGUGUGUAAGCUUGAGAAAUCCAUUUAUAGAUUGAAGCAAGCAACUCGCAGAUGGAAUCUUUGCUUUGAUGAAAAGGUCAAGGAAUUUGGCUUUUCUAGGAGUGAAGAUGAAUCUUGUGUGUAUGUCAAGGCUAGUGGGAGUAUAGUUAGCUUUUUGGUAUUGUAUGUGGAUGACAUACUACUCAUAGGAAACGACAUUCCAACUCUGCAGGAAGUAAAGUCCUGGCUUGGGAAGUGUUUCGCUAUGAAGGACCUUGGUGAAGCUGCCUAUAUUCUAGGGAUAAGAAUCUUGAGAGAUCGGAGUAAAAGACUAAUUGGACUUAGUCAGAGUACCUACUUGGAUAAGGUGCUGAAGAGAUUCAGCAUGCAGGAUUCCAAGAAAGGAGAGUUACCCAUCCAGAGUAACACCAGAUUGAGUAAGACACAAAGCCCUAGCACUGAGGCUGAGAUAGCAGAAAUGAGUCGAACACCUUACGCUUCGGCUGUAGGAUCGAUCAUGUAUGCUAUGACGUGUACUCGACCCGAUGUAGCUUUUGCCUUGAGCAUGGUUAGCAGGUAUCAGGCGAACCCUGGCAAGGCACACUGGACUGCGGUAAAGAAUAUCCUCAAGUACCUACGGAGGACUAAGGACUGGGUCCUUACCCUCGGUGGGAGUGAUGACUUGAGAGUUGUAGGGUAUAGUGAUGCUAGCUUCCAGACUGAUAGGGAUAAUUUCCGCUCUCAGUCGGGCUGGGUCUUUACCCUAAACGGAGGAGCAAUUUCUUGGAAGAGUUCCAAGCAAGAGACAGUGGCAGAUUCUACUUGUGAAUCAGAGUAUAUUGCAGCUAGUGAAGCAGCAAAGGAGGCGAUAUGGCUGAAGAACUUCAUUGGAGACCUUGGAGUUGUACCAGCUAUUAAAGAGCCAAUGGAAAUUUUCUGUGAUAGUGAAAGUGUUGUAGCCUUAGCCAAGGAACCUAGGGAUCACGAGAGAUCCAGACACAUCGACAGAAAAUAACAUUUUAUCAGACAUCGGAUAGAAGAAGGACUCCUCGUGGCAAAGAGGGUAUCAUCGGAUGAGAACCUAGCAGAUCCCCUCACGAAGGGACUGACUCGGGUUAAGCAUCUUCAGCAUGCUCGGAGCACAGGGCUGAAGGAUGAUACUAGAUUUAGUAGUUAGAUAACCUCGAAAUUUGUAAAGUGUAAUUGACAUUAGAUGAUGAAUAAAAGGUGUUUUAUUUAUGAGUAAAGUGUUGCUAUCUCUUGUCGAUCGUUUACUAUAUUUCUUUUGCAUGUUUUGACUUCCAGAAUAAUUUUGUUUGGUAUAACAUAUUAUUCAAACCUCCACAGUCGGUCAUAUGUUGGAAGUAGAUAUGAAUCAAGACUGUCAUGUUUGGUUGUAGAGGUCUUGGACAAGGCUACAACAAUCAUGAGUGCUCAUAAGUUCUGAGCAUUGGACUCAACCCACGCUCACUGGAAUCACUUCAUGGAAUUCUAUCUCGAGUGAUCGUGAGAUGGUAAUAUCAUAUAUGUCUUCAAACCAAGAUAUAUGAUUUGUUACUUACAAGUUGCUUAUGCAUUGAUUAUACGAAAACGCAUUGGUAACUCGAUGUUAUAAAACGUGCUUUUGUGUAUAAUUCAAUGAGUGGUAGAACAAACAUAUGAGUCGAAGUUUAUAUGUUCCUUCAUAGAUUAGAAGCUGAUAUCUGGGCCCAUCGAUGAUUUUGUUUUGACCUAUGUACCGGGCCCGAUCAGAACUAAGUUGAUGUGUUCAAUUAAGUUCUAUGUCAAACAAAUCGGAAAUCGGGAAACAAAUGCUGGACAAUAAGUAAGACAUUGUUCCAUGUAUUUGUCCGGCUGAUAUCUAGAACAGAGGAUUAUAUGAUCACUUAUCUUAAAUGGCGUACCAUCAUCUUCUCAGUUCCGAGAAACCUUGAAAGAGCUACGAUUGCCGGUCGGUUCCUGAAGUACUAGAGAUAUAGUUAUUAGACUUAUCCAAGUGGGAGACUGUUGGAUAAGGUGUCUAAGUCCAUAACUAUUUCGGGCUUGUACUUGACCCGACCCGGCAUGGUCCAUUUGGGUUGCAUGGCACCAUGCAAUUGGAUAGACUAAAUGAGAGAAAUAACAUUUGGAGAUUAUUAAUAUAUUAUAAGUUCUAAUAUAUUAAUAAUAUUAUUUGAUUAGUUUGAACAAGAAUUAAUUUAGAAUUAAUUAAGUGAUCAAAAGAUAACUAAUUAAAUAUAUGGGUUGAUUAUGUAAAUCAUCCAUAUCUUGUAUAGUGGGAUAAGAGGCUCCAUGGAUUAACAAGUUGGGUUCCACCCAUAGGAUACUCCAUGGAUGCUCCAUGGGAGUUACAAACCCAUGGGUCAUGGAAAUGAAGAGUCAUGACACAUUAGGGUUUACAUGGUAUAACCCUAGAUGUGUCAACAAUAUAUAAGAAUCCCAUUCUACACCAAAAUUGGCUACACAUAUGAAACAACAGGGCUAGGCCGAUUUUAAGAAGUGUGCAUUCUCUCAAAAGUCUUUCGAAGAGCAUUUGGUGUUGUGUGAAGCAUUUGAGGCAUCACACUUGGGGUGCUAGGAUCACAAGGUUUCAAGGAACAUAAGCAACAACAAGGUAAGUUAUUCUAUCUUUUAUUCAAGUUAAAUAUUGUUCCCCAUGUAUGCUAGAUAAGAAUAUAACCUUGGAAUUCAACUUUGCAUGAUAAUUAGAUAAACAUAGAUCCAAGGUUAUUAGGGUUGCAUGUACACUUAGGAAGUGUUAGAAUGCUCAAAACCCAUCACUUACAUCAACCAAGAUCGGAAAAUUUUGACAUACUACAACCUAAUCAAGACCUAACUGGUCCAAGAUUUACAAACGUAGGAAACUAGACUAAAGUUUUUACACAAACUAGGUUAUAUCCAAAAGAAUAGUUGAUGAGAAUCUAUCGGCGACGAGAAUUACUAGAGUGAGUUCUUGACUCCGACAGAAGAUGUUCUAUGUCCCUCACACACCUAUCGGAUCUUACUUGCUGAGUUUGAAUUUCCCUGACUUCAGCUUGGGUUUCAGCAAGUUCUCUCUGUAGAGCUGCGUUAAGGCUAGAGUUGGCGUCAAUCUCCACGACUCGGCCGAUAGCUGCUCGACCCUUCUUUGUGUUCCGAGAAAUCCUACGAACUAUAAUGAGUAGGACUCUGUCAGCGGAACAUCCCUCAGUGAAUGGGUUGACCUUGCUCCUAACUCCAUCUAUUCAAGUUUGUGGCCCAUAGGGGUUUAGGUCUUUGAAAUGCUGGACGGGGGUUUCGGUUUUCCCUAGCUAGGGGUAGGUUGUUGAUUUCUGGCUCUAAGUCAGAACCAUCAGAAAAUCCUUCAGCUUCAUAAUGAUCCAAAGGGAUUGGGUGAUCAUCUUCUGGCUCUUCUUCCAUCCAUCCUGCAUUGCCGUGGUUGGGGUAGUACGGGUCUCCGUGAAGAUGGAAUCCAACCAUUAAAUCUACGUGAAAAAAGAGGUAUAAGAUAUAACUAAGUAGACGAUCUAAUUAGAUAACUAUAAGAUGAUCUUUAUCAGUUACACCAAUAUUUGUCUAGAGCAUACCAGUUAUAUGUAUUUCGGGACGUGAUAAACCUUCGAAUAAGUGAUCCUAACUCUAAGUCCACAACCAAACAAGGAACAGGAAGUAAAGCAAAGAUCACAGAUUCUAAGUCUAUGACAUCCUAGUUACAUAUAGCCUUAGCGUAUCCACUAAACAACUAUUGACAUACUAAUAAAGACCUAAACAACUAUUGACAUACUAAUAAAGACCUUUAGUUCUCAGAUAGGUAAUCAUAGUAACACAAAAUACUCCUAUAGUAUUUUAAGUUUAAUGUUUUGUUGUAGUGUUCUUAUUGUAGUAGUGUUGGUAAGUUUUUAGACUUGUUGCAACCUCACAACCACACUUAGGCACAUGUUAAUCACUCCUCGGAUAAUGUAGUUGAUCAGGCUACAUCUUCCCAGGGUUGACCAUAUGUCUCUAAGUCUACUUGUGUUGCCCAACAAUCAUAAUACUUUUGUUCUGUCCUAGUGACACUGAUUUUAGUACGAAUGCAGGUAUGUAUACUUGGUUAAAUAUUUUAUUAUUUAACGGUAUAAACUCUUAAUCAGAGUAUUUUAAUCCUGCUUUUGUUUAUAGUUCGUAUAUCUUUUAAGGGUUGAUAUACUCUAUUCACUAUAAACAAAGCUUUGAUACCAAUCUGUCACACCCCAAAACCAUGAACAGCGGAAACGUUUGGGGGGUGGAGGACGUCAUGUACAAUAUCACAACAAUGCAAAGUAGUAAACAAGCAACAAAAUCAUCCAUUGCAUUAAUAAUAUAAUUUCAUACAAGUGUGUUCUGUCAAGAUAUAUAGACACCAAAAAUAUACAUCAAAAUAAAAGAGAAGUCUUGAACAAGCUCCGUCUUCUCAAAAAAAACCUGGUACCGGUACCUGUCUACUGGUGACCUGAGAAUACAAGUUAUUUUGAAAGAGUUUAUCAACUUUAAAGCUGGUGAGAUCAUAAGCAUACUAGUGUAUGUGUUUGUAUGAAAACAUUUGUAAGAUGUUUGUAAGAUGUAAUGUAUUUGUAAAGUUUGUAUUUGUUUGAACACUCCUAGAAAACCCUAUGUUUCAUACUAAAAGUGGCCUUCUACCAAGGCAUCUAGUAUUUGUAUGUGUGUCUCUUGUAAGAGUGUGUAUUUUCCCAAUUCCGACAAUCAUGAACCAAAAAUAUAGCUUUUACAUUACUGUGCAUCAUGUGAAUGUUCACUAAGUGAAUGUAAUGGGAAAAUAUUAUAGUACUGUAGUGUUGUAUUAAGUAACUACUGCUGUACUAACUACCGUAAACCAUUUGUUAUUUAAAGUACCAUGUGAUCGGCCUGUAUCCUGCUACCGACUCAAUAGUAAAACGACGGUGUAAGACGCCAUAAGAAAUGACAUUUGGCACCCAUAGACUUGCAAGUCCCACUUUAGCGAGCAACGAGGUGUAGGGUAGUCAAUCCAGUAUAGAUCUAUAUGCAAACUCAUAUGCUCCCCAAUUAAGGAGAUUCUGGAUACAAAAACGGUCAUGACAGGUAGUGCCAUGCCCCGUUUAAUGGCUCACAUAAAUGUAUUAAUGUAUAUGUAUUGUAUGUGCUAGCUGUAUUGUGUGUUCCUUCUCUGUCUAGCAUGUAUGUUCUGUUUCUCAUCAUAGUAUCUAUUGUUAGUUUCUCAUCAUAGUAUCUAUUGUUAGUUCCCCGUCAUAGUAUAUAUUAUUUUUUUUACUCAUGUAUGAACUGACUCUUUGUAUGUUUCAUUGUUCUAGUAAUAGUAUUAGUAUCUCCCUAAACUAUACCUAUUAUAGUUUACUAGAAUGGUGUUUGUGUAUAUGAGCUUCUUUGUAUACCCUUGCUACCCAAUGGUAUUGUAUUGAAUGAAGUAUCCUUUUAUAUCUAUAUACAUAUACAUAAUAUAUAAGUAGGAUUCAAACGACCCUCGGAUAGAUAACCCUGAUACCCUAAGGCUUCAACCAAACGAGGAACUGGAAGUAAGGUGAGCUAUCAGUCCUAAGUCCUUUCAAUCCUACUUAUAUAACUAUAUCUAUAUUGAUAUACUUUUAAUAGAAUAUAAGUUUAAAAGAUUAUAAGAAAUCGUAUUUGACAUGUAAAAGAGUUUGUAGAACAGUUUGAAGUAAAAUAGUUUGAUAACGCAGUUUGAAAAGUAAGAAAACCACUUGUUUGGUAGUUAUUAAUCACAUGUGAUUGAUAUAAUAACUAUAAUUGUUCAACUUGUAUCCCCCCAUAACAGCAUUUAGAAACAUUUAAAAGGUUAAUUAAAGGGGUAUGAACUCACCUGUAGUGAGUGUUUUGGAUGAAUGGAUUGUACAAGAUGUUAAGUGUCAAGUGAAGACUUGAGCACACACGCGGAUCCUAUUUGACAUAUAAUGUACAUAUAUGAAUAUAAUUAGUGCUUAUAACACCUAACUAUUCAAUUGAACACUCCUUAGGGUCUAGGAAACAAUAAUUUUGAAGUGUUACAACCACAUAUGAUUGUAUAUAAAGGGUAUAUGGCCAUACAAGGGAGUGUAUGGUCAAAAUACACACUAUUUGUGUGUGUACGGCCAGGGUGUGCGGCCAGGGGGUGUGUGUGGCCGCACACUCCCUAUGGAAUGUGUCAAAAUGUAUUUCAAGUCUUUAGGACUCAUCUAGGAAGGUCUCUUACUUCAUGCUUUAGCCUUAUAAGGAGUUUAUUGCCAUUUUUGGACAUAAAAAGGGUGUGUGCGGCCAGCAUGAUGUGUGUGGCCGCACACCCUUUAUGAAGAUGAUAAAAUCAUGUUUUUCCAGCAUAUUAACGAGUGUUCUUAGCAUAUAACAAGUUAUGAUAAGUGUAUACACGUUAUAGAGGCUUGAAAGGGUGAUUUAAGGUCCAAAACUAGUAUCUGUUCUUAGUGUUCUUGGCUAGAAAUGGAUAUUUUCAUGGAUCAAACGAAAGGGUUUUGCUAGUUAAGGUCGUAUAUCAACAAAUAAAAGGACGGAUUACUACCUUUUAUGAAUAUCGAGAUGAAGAUUUGGAUGAUACUUUAGAGGAUUUCGAGUUCUAGCUUUGAAGAAUUGGAAAAGUGUUCAAAAAUGACUAAGUGUUCUAUAUAUAGGGAGAGUGUGCGUUUGGGAUGGGUGUGUGGCCGCACACUCUUGUGUGCGGCCGCACACACCUUGUGUUGGUGUGAUUGGCUCAAGUGCAAGGCGAUACACCCACAAUAGUCAUCCCACGACUCAUACACUGCUUAUACUAGGCUUUAAACACUCUAUUUGACUCCAAACAGUGCUAGAAAAUAGAAAAAAACGAGUUUAACCCUCAUUGAUUUGAAUAUGUAUAAGAUAAAAAUUUUGGAUUGCCACAUACUUUGACUAAGUCGGAUUAGUCUUUUACUCCUAUUUCUCAAUAUCCUUAUCCCUAGAAUAUAAGCAGCCUCUUCGAGGUCCUUCAUAACGAAACACUUCCCAAGACAAGACUUAACCUCCUUAAAGGUUGGGACAUCGUUUCCUGUGAGUGGUAUGUCACCUACAUACAAUACCAAGAAGCUAACUAUACUCCCACUAGCUUUGACAUAUAUACAUGACUCAUCCUCGCUUCUCGAAAAAAAAACUCAUUAAAUUUCUCAUCGAAACAAAGAUUAUGUCUGCGAGAUGCUUGUUUUAAUCAAUAAAUGGAUUUUCAAGCUUACACACUCUAUUAGAGUAUUUCGCAUCUACAAAACCUUCUGGCUGACUCAUGUAAGCAUCCUCAGCUAACCUCCCAUUAAGGAAAGCGGUUUUGACAUCCAUCUGCCAUAUUUCAUCAUCAUGAAAUGCAACUAUGGCUAACAUAAUCCUUAUAGACUUGCUCUUCGAUACUGGUGAGAUGGUCUUGUCAUAGUCAACUCCAGGAGGUUGAGUAAAUCCCUUCGUAACCAAUCACGCCUUAUAAGAGUGUACUUUCCCAUCCAUGUUGGUCUUCUUCUUGAAGAUCCAUUUACACCUGACCAUCUUAUGACCUAGUACAUUGGCAACCAAGUUCCAAACUUGAUUGUGAUAUAUGGACUAAAUCUCGCUGUCUAUCUCCUCUUUCCACUUUACAGACUCUUGGCCCACCAUGGUUUCCUUGUCGUUGUUAGGUUCAUCCAAAUUUAUCAGUGUACUAUCAUUGAUAAACGUAUCGCCUUAAUUUUUAUAUGGAAACCAUAUAACAUAGACGGAACACUAACUCUACUGGAACUUCUAAGAGGUAAGGACUCAUCAAUUGGUUCAACAGGAGUUUCCUCCUCGGGUUGAGCGGUAGUCUUGGAGGUUCCUUCAUCACUUGAUUCUUGAAGCUCUUCAAGGUCAUUUUGCCUACCACUAUCCUCUUGGCAUAUGGGUUCUCUCUCUCGGAAAACCCCUCUCCUCGCAACGAAGACAACACUGUCACUCGGUCUAUAGAAGAGAUAUCUAAAGGACUUAUGUGGGUAGCUGAUGAAAAUGCAAUACUCACUACGAGGGUCGAGCUUGCCAUGAGUCUCUCGUCUUACAAAAGCUUUGCAACCCCAAACCUUGAUAUGUGCCAACGAGGGAACCUUCUCUGUCGGCAUUUCAUGAGGUGUUUUGGAAACCUUCUUAGUUGGGACUAGAUUAAGGAUAUGGACGGCAGUCUCUAAGGCAUACCCCCGAAAUGAGAUAGGUAGCAAAGCUAGAAUCAUCAUGAAACGAAUCAUGUCCAACAAGGUUCGAUUGCGCCUCUCAGCUACACCAUUCAGCUACGGUGUCCUAGGCGGUGUCAAUUGUGAAACAAUUCCACAUUCCUUAAGAUAGUCGUGGAGCUCCAUACUAAGAUACCACCACCUCGAUCGGAUCGGGGUAUCUUUAUCUUCUUUCCCAAUUGAUUCUCCACUUCUUGCUUAAGCUCUUUGAACUUUUCAAAAGUUUUUGACGUAUGCUUGAUUAAGUAGAUAUACCCAUAUCUGCUACAGUCAUUGGUAAAUUUACAUAGAAGCGGUUUGUAUCCCUUGUGGUGGAUCUAAAGGGUCCACACACAUCAAUGUGUAUGAGAUGCAAUAAUCCCCCACGCCUUUCACAAGUGCUUGUGAAUGGUGAUUUAGUCACCAUUCCAAGUAAACAUGACUCACACGUGUCAUCGGACCUAAGGUCAAAUGACUCCAACACUCCAUACUUUUAGAGUUGGGCUAGGCAUUUCUUGUUGACAUGUCCAAGAAGACAAUGCCACAAGCAUGCUUUGUCCAAACCAUUUGACGAAUCAAUAUGCAACACAUUAUUUCCUAAGUUAUCUACAACCAUCACAGUUUCAUAUACUUAAUUACAAGGCAAUGCUUCAAAACAAAAAGUACCAUUAUAGAAAGCAUUUAUAGAACCAAUUACAUUAUUAAAUGAAAAUCUAAAACUUUUUCUCUACAAACGAUGGAAAGAAAUAAUAUUUCUCGCCAUUUCCGAUGAGUAGAAACAAUAUUCAAAGGUAACCCUAACGCACUACUAAGUAAUAAAGAGUAAACUCCAAUCUUACUGAAAGCCAACACUUUCCUAUUCCCCAUGAUCAAGUUCAUCUUCCGGUGCUCCACAUCCCUACUUCUUCUAAGACCUUGCAAAUCAGAACAAAUGUGAAAACCACAUCCUGUAUCAAGGACCCAAGAAACAGCAUGUGAUGAGUUCUUAGAUUAAAUAGUGUAAAUACCUGCGAAAGUGGACUUUAUCUUCCCAUCCUUGACGUCCUACAAGUAUUUAGGGCAACUUCGUUUCCAAUGCCCUUCAUCGUGACAGUGAAAGCACUCUACAUCCUUUGGAUUUGAAGAAGGAGCAGCAGAACCACCUUUGGUCCCACUAGAAGAGGAUCCAUCAAGGGACUUUCCCUUGUGGCUCCUAGAAGGAGCCUUCCUCUUUUUUCCUUUCCCUUGUCCAAUUGCCAAGGCAGGGGAAGCAAUGGUAGGAGUAGGUACAACAGACUUGCCUUUUAGACUACUCUCUAGAAUUAUUAGAAGGCCUUGAAGCUUGCUUAGAGUGACUUCCUCCUUAUUCAUAUGAUACGUCAUUCUAAACUGAUCAUAACAAGGAGGCAAAGAGUGUAGGAUAAUAUCAAUAGUCAACUCUUCGUCAAAGUUGACAUUGAACUUCAGCAAGCCAUCCACAUACCUUUGCAUCCUUUUGUGAUAUCCGGAAUCCCAGGUACAUCAUUUUGACUAUUUAUUUUUCAAGUUUAUAAGGCGACUCGACAAGUUGAUGCUAUGACUCGUUGAGUCAAGUCGCGCGUGGUCGUAAGGGUUUAAUGACCUACUCGACGAGUCCAAGAGGCUACUCGACGAGUAGGCGCUGGAAUGAGAAACCGUAAAUCCCCUGGUUUGGGGCCUAUUUAAAGGAACUUAUAGGCUCCUUGGGUGGCCACACUUCACAUAGAGAAACACUAACCGGCCCCUUUCCUUGUAUAUAGAGAGAGACCAUUUUGAGCAUUCUUGUGCAUUUUGCAGGAAGGAUUGGAAGAGCUUGGUGGAUCUAACCGAGGUAAGGCUGUGGAUCUUGCAUUAUUAUGUCAUUAGUUGCUAUUCAGAGGUAAAAAGCUCUCAUCUUGGCCACAUAUUCGUUAGAUCUCAUUUUGGGAGCUUUUAGGGUUUUCUUCCAAAUCAUAUUGUGCUCUUGAGUUAUUUGAGCGUGGUUUGAGGUUAGAACCUUGGAUCUAGAUUAGAAAAGGCCUUGAAGGUCUAACGAUUCAAACUUUAUUGAGUUAGAGGCAGGUCCACAUGCACUUAACCAUCCUUGGAGCUUGUAAUGGUAUUAUGGAGCAUUUAUGCCAUGCAUGAACGUAAAGAUCGAAGUUGUACGUGACAUUCGAGCCUAGGGAGCUAAGAUCUAGUGUUUAGAGUGAUAGAUCUGCCCUAAAACAUCUGAAUGGUAGUAUGGACUGGAUGAACUCCCCGAGUCCAUGAGCAGACUCGACGAGUCGCUUAGGGGUUAUUCCGUAAGUCUGAGCAUAUUGUAACUAGUUAAGUUAGUGGAUCAACUCGACGAGUAGAGUUGGUUUUCAUAAGGCCACUGAGGGAUCGAGGGGACUCGAUGAGUCCUCCCGAUGCACUCGUCGAGUUAGGUCAACAUGGAUUGUUGACUCAAGUUUGACUUCGGUUCACUUUUAAAGUCUUGAUCUAAUGUGAGUAACUGAGAUCUUGGAGGGUUAAAAUGGUCUUUUACCCUUACCAAGAUUUAAAAGGGGUUAAUAUGAAUUUAUUAGAAUUGUGAUCUAAUUAGAGAUAAGCACCACAUGUAUUAGGCGUAGGCUAGAUCGGUGAUUCGUGUACGAGGUGUAUUAGCUUGCUUGCUUCGAGGUGAGUCUUCUCACAAUACUUCACCAAGAGUGGUGACUAUGUGUAACCAAAGGGCCUUUUUGUGCUUGCUUGAGUUAUGCAUGUUUGUGUGAUAUGUAUUGUAUGUUAUAUUAUCUGUUACCUAGACCAGACCGAAGGGUCCAAUGAACUAUGAGACCAGAGGGUUCUCAACCAGACCGAACCAGAGGGUCCAACGAGCUGUGGGAGUGGAGGGUCCCACUAAGACACAUUGACCGGAGGGACUUACAGAGAUAUAGCCUCGAGUGGUUAGUUUUUGUGAGUGGUAUUUUGGGGAACUCACUAAGUUUCGUGCUUACCGUGUUAUGUGUUAUGUGUUUUAGGUACCUCAAAGGAUCGCGGGAAGGCACCGGCGUGAUUGUACACACCUGUUCGAGAUGAUGUUGAGGAUUUUGGGAUUUGACUUUUACUGAGAUUUUAAGUUGACACUGAGACACUUAUGAUUUUCAUGAAAAAUAAUAUAUUAGUUUUAUGUAAUUUUAAAAUUGAAAAGGAAAUUGGUUGCAAAUUACGUUGUUACAAGUUGGUAUCAGAGCCUUGGUUUGAGGGAUUCAGAUGCACCUUCGGGUGUGUCUUGACUUAAACUGAGGAUUUAAGAAAAAAAUUUCAAAGAGAAACAAUUUUUCUAAAAUGAGUAAGAGUUUCUAAGAGAAAUACAAGAAAGGACAGUGUGUAUAAUCAGCCAACGCCCGAACGGUGAUUUUCCCAACAUACCCUUACUUUCAGUGUUAUGAGAUAUCUAUGAGAUACAUUAUCCAUGCUAGAGAGUAGGCUAGGUACUUCAUAUUUUAGGACUAGAGUGGUCUGAUUUGUGAUGCCUUAGCCUAGGAGUUACUACUACCUAUGGUUUGCUUUGAGUACUAGAAUGUAGCAUAAAUGAGCUUAUGAGAGUAGCCUAUGGUCGGCGAGAUAUAAAGUACUUGAGAUCUGGAAUCCUAGGAGGAGGACUUGGGGUGAUUACACAUGCGGUGUGGAAGGUAGUAUUGGGCCCGUACUACUGGAAGCACCGGUUCGAUGAGCAGUCCAAGUAAGAAUCCUCAGAAUGCUAAGAAACAAGUAAGGGGAGUGAUCGAGUGUGAGUAUACUAGAGCAAUUCUCUGAUUAUUUUAUGUUGUGGUUCAGAGACAUCACGGUGGGUAUGCACCACAACCCUGAAAGGAGUGGAGUUAGCGAUGAUGCGAUUCGCAGGAUGAUUCAUGAGGAGGUGGCCGCAACUAUCCAAGAGGCCAUCUCGGAGAUGUUUGGGUCUAUCAAAACCACCGUGAUUGAGAUGUUUGAUGAGCGUUACGAUGCGGUUUUGGAGUUGUUGUUGUCUAUUUUCACUCUGUAAUCGUGAAGCAUAAUGCAAGAUGAAACCAGAUCUUAUUUACAUUCUGUUUUCUUAAUUCUCGAUACUCUGAUUUUGAUUUCAUUAAUUAAUUCAAUACUACAUCAACGACAAAGAACAACCCGCAAUGGCAGCGACGGCUGUACACUCACAUAUUCGGGCUAGACGAAUAAACCAUAAAUUAAUUUUUUUAAAGAAUAUUAUUUUGGGUAAAUAAUCUUAACCAACUUUUUUGUAUAUAUGACAAGGAUUCCAUACAUAUAUAUGUUGGAUAAGGUGUCUAAGUCCAUAAAUAUUUCUGGUAAAUACUUGACCCGACCCGGCAUGGUCCAUUUGGGUUGCAUGGCACCAAUCAAUUGGAUAAACUAAAUGAGAGAAAUAACACAUAUGGUUUAUUAAUAUAUUAUAAGUUCUAAUAUAUUAAUAAUAUUAUUUAAUUAUUUUUGAUCUAGAAUUAAUUAAGUGAUCAAAAGAAUAACUAAUUAAAUAUAUGGGUAGAUUAUGUAAAUCUUCCAUAUCUUAUAUAGUGGGCUAAAAGGCUCCAUGGAUUAUCAAGUUGGGUUCCACCCAUAGGAUGCUCCAUGGAGUUAACCCAUGGAUUGAGAAAUGAAGAGUCAUGUUACAUUAGGGUUUUACCUAAUGCAACACACUAUAUAAGGACCAUGUCUCUCCCCAAAAUCGGCUACACUAGUGAUACACUAGAGAAACAAGAGGGCUUGGCCGAUUUUGAGUGUGUUAAAGUAUUCUCUCAAGUUUAUACUUUGCAUUUGGUGUUGUGUGAAGCAUUUGAGGCAUCACACUUGAGGUGCUAGGCUCACAAGCUUUCAAGGAACACUUUCAACAACAAGGUAUGUAGUUCUAUCUUUUAUACAAAGAAAAUUGUACCCCAUGUAUGCUAGAUAGGUUCAUAACCUUGGAAAACAACUUUGCAUGAUUAUUAGACAAACAUAGAUCCAAGGUUAUUAGGGUUGCAUGUACACUUAGGAAGUGUUAGAAUGCUUAAAACCCGUAAGUGGUAUCAAAGCCUAGGCUUGUUUGUUUGAUACUUGAUGCAAUAUACUGGAAAAAAGUCGAAAAACUUGUUGUCUGCCUGAUGAACUCGCCAAGUCCAUGGGGGGGCUCGCCGAGUUCAUGUGUAUCUUCAACCUACUCGCCGAGUAGGUUCAUGCACUCGGUGAGUAGGAGCCACAGAGUGCAGAUUUUUGACUUUAGUUGCUGGAAAUGGACUAGAAACAUUACCCUAAACUGUUUUGGUACUUGAAAACUUGUUUUAGAUGGUGUAAUGUCUUUGCUAAUCCAUUUACAACACCUAGUUAUCAAAAUUACAAAGUUUUAAGCGUAAUUUUUUAUUCAUGAAAGUGUUCAUAUUCAUUUUCUUGAUCUUAUGAUGUUUAGAUGAUCAUAGGAAUUAUUUGUAACCUAUGUGGUAGAUUAAUUCUUGAUCAUAAUGUGUUUUAAUGGAGUCCAUAACGUGUCCUCAAGUUAUGGAAAGCCAAGAGUCACACUUGAAUUAAAACCAUUAAAAGAACAAAAGAGUUAGAAAAAUUAAGAGUGUUCAUUUUAUUACUCUAUUUAACUCAUAAGUUACAAGAAAUGAAAAUUUUUGAAAGUUUACAAAACUUGCCCUCAAGUUUUGGAACAAGUAAAGUCAUAUUAACAACUUUAGUUCCAACCCUUAGAAUUUUAAAAGUUAAAAUUCAACCCUUAUACUUAUAUUAUUAUGAUUUAAUAAUUAUAUAUAUAUAUAAGAACAAAGUCGUCUUACCGCUAGUACGCCUCAUUCACGAAGCCGGUCUAUAAGGUGGGUAUAAGGUUGUUGCCUAUAAAAUGGUGACUUAAUGGGUGUCCACUCUCACCCACCGCUUGCUUGACCGGUGGAGGGUCGUUAGCCGAACGGGUAAGACAAGGACUUAUAAAUUCUCAUUAAAAGUAUGAUGAAUAUUAUAAAGUAACUAAAUGUUUUAUUAAAUUCCCAAUCUUAGUUACUUUAGGAAAAAUGUGAAUAAGGUGCUAAUCCAUGAAAUUACACUUUACACUUUGUCUAAGUCGUUAGUGGAGCGUGUGUGGUUAACCGGCACACUAACUUGGACUUAACAAGGUAGGUAAAGGGUGACUUAAUAUUUAUCAUAGUAUCGAUGGAGCGUGUGUGGUUAACCGGCACAUCGAUUGAGGGGUAAUUUAUUAAGGGUACCAAAUAAUUUGCAUGGUUACUUCACACCUCGUUUUGUGAUCCUCGGCGUCCCAGUCACAAAACUUGGAGGGCACACUCGAGAUUGAAACAUGCCUUUGAAAAAGUUCAUUGAAUCUCAAAAGAAUCUAGGAGUUUCUAAGAACCAAAUUAAAUAUUUAUUAAUAUUUCGACUUUGGUAGGAAUUGGUGAAUCGUCAUUUACCUACGUUUCAAAUAUGUUAUUACUUAGAUUACGGCGUACCUCUUCUAAGUAUAAUAUAUUGUGAUUGGGUCCUAGCCUUAAUACUACAUUUGGGUGUUUU